CCUACGGGGGGCAGCAGUGAGGAAUAUUGGUCAAUGGGCGGGAGCCUGAACCAGCCAAGUCGCGUGAGGGAAGGCGGUCCUAUGGAUUGUAAACCUCUUUUUUCUUGGAGCAAAGAGACCACGUGUGGUCAAAAGCGAGAGUACCCGAAGAAAAAGCAUCGGCUAACUCCGUGCCAGCAGCCGCGCUAAUACGGAGGAUGCGAGCGUUAUCCUGAUUUCUUUGGUUUAAUG
RNAcentral lists this ribosomal RNA (231 nucleotides) under uncultured bacterium. Its description in RNAcentral is "partial 16S ribosomal RNA". It matches the Rfam family "Bacterial small subunit ribosomal RNA", at positions 338 to 565 of the family's 1533-position model. The record is from RNAcentral.